This 441-nucleotide ribosomal RNA is filed under the name uncultured bacterium. RNAcentral's name for it is "partial 16S ribosomal RNA". It matches the Rfam family "Bacterial small subunit ribosomal RNA", at positions 338 to 795 of the family's 1533-position model. The record is from RNAcentral.
CCUACGGGAGUCAGCAGUGGGGAAUAUUGCACAAUGGGGGAAACCCUGAUGCAGCGACGCCGCGUGAGUGAAGAAGUAUUUCGGUAUGUAAAGCUCUAUCAGCAGGGAAGAAGAAAGACGGUACCUGACUAAGAAGCCCCGGCUAACUACGUGCCAGCAGCCGCGGUAAUACGUAGGGGGCAAGCGUUAUCCGGAUUUACUGGGUGGAAAGGGAGCGUAGACGGCUGUGCAAGUCUGAAGUGAAAGCCCAGGGCUCAACCCUGGGACUGCUUUGGAAACUGUGGAGCUAGAGUGCUGGAGAGGUAAGUGGAAUUCCUAGUGUAGCGGUGAAAUGCGUAGAUAUUAGGAGGAACACCAGUGGCGAAGGCGGCUUACUGGACAGUAACUGACGUUGAGGCUCGAAAGCGUGGGGAGCAAACAGGAUUAGAUACCCCAGUAGUC